GUAGGUGGCAAGCGCUGUCCGGAAUUAUUGGGCGUAAAGCGCGCGCAGGCGGUUCUUUAAGUCUGAUGUGAAAGCCCACGGCUCAACCGUGGAGGGUCAUUGGAAACUGGAGAACUUGAGUACAGAAGAGGAAAGCGGAAUUCCACGUGUAGCGGUGAAAUGCGUAGAGAUGUGGAGGAACACCAGUGGCGAAGGCGGCUUUCUGGUCUGUAACUGACGCCGAGGCGCGAAAGCGUGGGGAGCAAACAGGAUUAGAUACCCUGGUAGUCCACGCCGUAAACGAUGAGUGCUAAGUGUUAGGGGGUUUCCGCCCCCCUUAGUGCUGCAGCUAACGCAUUAAGCACUCCGCCUGGGAGUACGGCCGCAAGGCUG
Molecule: ribosomal RNA, 372 nt
Filed under: uncultured organism
Description: partial 16S ribosomal RNA
Rfam family: Bacterial small subunit ribosomal RNA
Source: RNAcentral